Long non-coding RNA from Haliotis rubra (blacklip abalone), 364 nucleotides. RefSeq lists it as uncharacterized. NCBI's taxonomy places the organism in Eukaryota, Metazoa, Mollusca, Gastropoda, Lepetellida, Haliotidae. The transcript is spliced from 3 exons. The record is from RefSeq and is a predicted model, not a curated record.
GCACAGAGUGGGUCAGCAAAAGAGCUUUGAGGGGAUCACAGAGAAACGGGAAUAAAGGACAGGUGCCGUGGGCACAAAAGCCCAGGUUCCCUACACAGAUUGAAUCCUAAGAAGUAUGCUUAAACAGAAUUCAACUGAAACAGACAUGGCCCAUUCAAACUGACCUGUCAAUCAUCACAGCUCCGAAUUAGAAGAUUAUUCAGGAACAGCUCGUGACAGUCCGCCAUCCCCAACAAUGGGGAUUGUUUUAAAAGCAGAUAUUACAGACCCGUGAAACUAUACAACUUCACUGGGCUCAUGUAAGCAAUUACGUGAAAUUGUUUGAGAAAUUGUUUCCUAUAAACAACGUAAAUAAUUUGCUUCA